RNAcentral lists this ribosomal RNA (307 nucleotides) under Bipolaris axonopicola. RNAcentral describes it as "eukaryotic LSU rRNA". It matches the Rfam family "Eukaryotic large subunit ribosomal RNA", at positions 1 to 303 of the family's 3401-position model. Lineage: Eukaryota; Fungi; Ascomycota; Dothideomycetes; Pleosporales; Pleosporaceae. The record is from RNAcentral.
UUGACCUCGGAUCAGGUAGGGAUACCCGCUGAACUUAAGCAUAUCAAUAAGCGGAGGAAAAGAAACCAACAGGGAUUGCCCUAGUAACGGCGAGUGAAGCGGCAACAGCUCAAAUUUGAAAUCUGGCUCUUUCAGAGUCCGAGUUGUAAUUUGCAGAGGGCGCUUUGGCUUUGGCAGCGGUCCAAGUUCCUUGGAACAGGACGUCACAGAGGGUGAGAAUCCCGUACGUGGUCGCUAGCUAUUGCCGUGUAAAGCCCCUUCGACGAGUCGAGUUGUUUGGGAAUGCAGCUCUAAAUGGGGAGGUAAA